This 498-nucleotide ribosomal RNA is filed under the name uncultured bacterium. RNAcentral describes it as "partial 16S ribosomal RNA". It matches the Rfam family "Bacterial small subunit ribosomal RNA", at positions 29 to 523 of the family's 1533-position model. The record is from RNAcentral.
AUUGAACGCUGGCGGCAUGCCUAACACAUGCAAGUCGCACGCGAAAGAGGGGCAACCCUUGAGUAGAGUGGCGGACGGGUGAGUAACGCGUAGGAAUAUACCUGGUAGUGGGGGACAACCCGGUGAAAACCGGGCUAAUACCGCAUACGAUCCACGGAUGAAAGCAGGGGACCGCAAGGCCUUGCGCUAUCAGAUUAGCCUGCGUAGGGUUAGCUAGUGGGUGAGGUAAUGGCUCACCAAGGCAACGAUCCGUAGAGGGUUUGAGAGAACGACCAGCCACACUGGGACUGAGACACGGCCCAAACGCCUCUGGGAGGCAGCAGUGGGGAAUAUUGGACAAUGGGGGCAACCCUGAUCCAGCAAUGCCGCGUGUGUGAAGAAGGCCUUCGGGUUGUAAAGCACUUUCGGUGGGGACAAACGUGGCGAGGCUAACAUCCUAGUCCUUGAUGGUACUCAAAGAAGAAGCACCGGCUAACUCUGUGCCAGCCGCCGCAGUAA